CCUUCAGAAAUCUUUGAUGCAUCAGUGAAUUAAAAGAAAAAAAUGAGAUGUCAAGUCUUUGUGUUUCAUGUCUCUUUGCCCUUCAUUUCGGAGCAGCCCACCCAAAUACUAGGCAGGGUCUCUACGGUCUACAUUACGUUCAUGUAAUGCCAGGACACCGUGGCUCUCCCAAGGAAUGGCAUAACGAUUUCACGACUUGGAGGUGCUAAAUUGGGCUCAGCCAGCUUGAAAGAAUCCGCACCAAGUGACUGCACAGUCCAUGCUGGGCUGCAGGCAGAGACCCCAGUGAUCCAGUUUGGGGGUGUAGAAAGGAGCACCCUUACUGUCGAUCAAGAUACUGUGGCCUCUGUUCAUGACGUGGUGAACAAGGAACAAUGUGGGGUUGAUGCUCUCUAAGGUGCAGGCGUGAGUUUGUGGCUCUUCUCUCUGUAGCACACUCAUUCUGUAACAUUCUGCCCUGACCCGCUGCACUGAAAACAAAUAAAAAGC
Fukomys damarensis (Damara mole-rat) is the source of this 489-nucleotide long non-coding RNA. NCBI's taxonomy places the organism in Eukaryota, Metazoa, Chordata, Mammalia, Rodentia, Bathyergidae. The record is from Ensembl.